This 468-nucleotide ribosomal RNA is filed under the name uncultured bacterium. RNAcentral describes it as "partial 16S ribosomal RNA". It matches the Rfam family "Bacterial small subunit ribosomal RNA", at positions 28 to 507 of the family's 1533-position model. The record is from RNAcentral.
GACGAACGCUGGCGGCGUGCUUAACACAUGCAAGUCGAACGGAAAGGCCCUGCUUUUGUGGGGUGCUCGAGUGGCGAACGGGUGAGUAACACGUGAGUAACCUGCCCUUGACUUUGGGAUAACUUCAGGAAACUGGGGCUAAUACCGGAUAGGAGCUCCUGCUGCAUGGUGGGGGUUGGAAAGUUUCGGCGGUUGGGGAUGGACUCGCGGCUUAUCAGCUUGUUGGUGGGGUAGUGGCUUACCAAGGCUUUGACGGGUAGCCGGCCUGAGAGGGUGACCGGCCACAUUGGGACUGAGAUACGGCCCAGACUCCUACGGGAGGCAGCAGUGGGGAAUAUUGCACAAUGGGCGGAAGCCUGAUGCAGCAACGCCGCGUGCGGGAUGACGGCCUUCGGGUUGUAAACCGCUUCCGCCUGUGACGAAGCGUGAGUGACGGUAGUGGGUAAAGAAGCACCGGCUAACUACGUG